This 210-nucleotide long non-coding RNA is filed under the name Hordeum vulgare. RNAcentral describes it as "long non-coding RNA (HVUL_LNC018263)". The record is from RNAcentral. Lineage: Eukaryota; Viridiplantae; Streptophyta; Magnoliopsida; Poales; Poaceae.
GGGGACGGCCUGGAGAGGGAGAACGUCGGCGGCGAUCUUCGGUGACCCGAGGAAGAAGACGACUGCUGCGCGUUGAUUCACUGCAUCUGGGCGUCGGGCUCGUGGCUAGGAAGCUUCAGGGGGUUGCGGCGGAGCUAACGCGCGGCUCAGAAGGAAGGGAGGUCGGCUAGAACGACGACGAGCUCGAGCUCUGCUCGGGCUCCAAUGGCG